UAUGGGAAAUAAAUUUCCCUGACAGAGAUCCAUAAUUCCGCAGCCCAGCUCAGUGUUUACAUUGCCUCGAGCUGUUGUUACGCCCGUGACAUGCCUUUUGAGACUUGUGUAGAGAUGUGAUCUUUUCGUCGUUUGGAUAUACUUUCAAUAAAAAGAAACCAGUGUCUAUGGUAAAAGUUAACUUUGUAUCUGGGUGAAGUGACAACAUGCCGAAAGGCGGCAAGAACAAGCUGAACCUGACGAUUUCCGUGUCUGAACCACAGACAGACGGAAGCGAUCGUCAGAAUGGAGCACAAGCCAAUUUAGAAGCUUUGCAACAAAAACUGCAAGAGCUUGACAUUGACGAUCAGCAGAGAGAGAGGUUAGAGGAGUUUCUUUCACAAAAACAGAAAAUUGGCGAGCUGCUUGAAGAAGACUUUGAGAAACUCGGGGAGUUGGGAGCUGGCAAUGGAGGUGUAGUCACCAAAGUGCUUCAUCAUCCUUCAAAUCUGGUGAUGGCGCGAAAACUUAUCCACCUUGAAAUCAAGCCAAUGGUCAGAAAUCAGAUUAUCCGUGAACUGAAAGUCCUUCACGAAUGUAACUCGCCCUACAUUGUUGGAUACUAUGGUGCUUUCUACAGUGAUGGUGAAAUAAGCAUUUGCAUGGAGUAUAUGGAUGGUGGCUCCUUAGAUUUGAUACUAAGGAAAGCUGGCCGGAUCCCAGAGCCUAUUUUAGGAAUUAUUACCAUUGCAGUGCUUAAGGGUUUGUCGUACUUGAGAGAAAAUCAUCAAAUUAUUCAUCGUGAUGUCAAACCUUCAAAUAUCCUUGUGAAUUCACAUGGAGAGAUAAAGUUGUGUGAUUUUGGUGUCAGUGGACAGCUGAUAGAUUCAAUGGCAAACUCCUUUGUGGGGACCAGAUCUUAUAUGGCGCCUGAGCGGCUUCAAGGCAGCCACUACUCGGUUCAGUCAGACAUUUGGAGCUUAGGUCUUUCUCUGGUGGAAAUGUCCAUUGGUCGGUAUCCAGUACCCCCUCCAGAGGCGAGAGAUCUUGCCAGCAUAUUUGGGGACAAUGCGAACGAAGAGCAUAUGGAAGCAGCAAUGACGGGCAGGCCUUUGAAAGCUUGUCCAGGAGACAUUGAGGUUUUUACUGGGGAUGGUCCCCUGCCUAUGGCCAUAUUUGAACUGCUUGAAUAUAUAGUCAACGAGGCACCCGCAAUAACUAUAUGGUACCAACGCAGGGGGGCGCUGCUGAGGCACCGCGAUCUAUGGCCAUAUUUGAGCUUUUAGAUUACAUUGUGAAUGAGCCUCCACCGACUCUCCCGAAAGGACGAUUUUCUGACGAAUUUGUUGAUUUUGUUGAUAGAUGCUUAAAGAAGAAUCCAUCGGACAGAGCUGAUCUGCAGUCCUUAGU
RNAcentral lists this unclassified non-coding RNA (1389 nucleotides) under Aplysia californica (California sea hare). Its description in RNAcentral is "dual specificity mitogen-activated protein kinase kinase 1, transcript variant X3". The record is from RNAcentral. Lineage: Eukaryota; Metazoa; Mollusca; Gastropoda; Aplysiida; Aplysiidae.